AGGAAUUUUGCUGCUCAAUGAGGUUUGGACAGUGUUUUUGUUUAUCUCGUGACAAAGGGAGAGAAAAAUUUUGCACAUGUGUGUGUGUUCCUAUUCUGUGUGCUUCUCCUCAAUUUAAAGCAGGCAGAAUUGAUUUCUCUUGUCAUAAUUGGGCAAACAAUGCCUGGAUACUCAGGGUGGUGAAAAGUGGUAUUAUUGAGUUUUAAACCAAAC
This is a non-coding RNA of Pelobates cultripes (western spadefoot toad), 213 nucleotides long. NCBI's taxonomy places the organism in Eukaryota, Metazoa, Chordata, Amphibia, Anura, Pelobatidae. The record is from the annotation of a GenBank genome assembly.